Molecule: long non-coding RNA, 2704 nt
Organism: Salmo salar (Atlantic salmon)
Lineage: Eukaryota; Metazoa; Chordata; Actinopteri; Salmoniformes; Salmonidae
Source: RefSeq, a predicted model, not a curated record
CUUGCACAAUUGGUGGCUGACUAAAUACUUUUUUGCCCCACUGUAUAUUUGUGUAUGUCAGGAGACUUUAGGUCAGGCAGAGGAUGAAACCAUCCAGGAGGACUCAACGUCCUGUUUAGUGGAGGUGACUCACUGCAAGCCCUGCAUCUCUGUGAUGACAUCACCACCACCGUAGGAGUGACUUCAUCUGGGCUUCUGGAGGUUAUACUGAACGGAUCCUUCUCAGACGUCCUUUACCAUGUUGCCACAGAAACACUGUCUCUCCAGUUAGAGCACAGCUGGACGUCCCAUCCUGUGGCCAAGAAACAUCCAGCAGACCCUGUCUCCUCAGCACAGCCCAAGAGACCGCAUACAGACCCUGUCUCCUCAGCACAGCCCAAGAGACCGCAUACUGACCCUGUCUCCUCAGCACAGCCCAAGAGACCACAUACAGACCCUGUCUCCUCAGCACAGCCCAAGAGACCGCAUACAGACCCUGUCUCCUCAGCACAGCCCAAGAGACCGCAUACAGACCCUGUCUCCUCAGCACAGCCCAAGAGACCGCAUACAGACCCUGUCUCCUCAGCACAGCCCAAGAGACCUCAUACAGACCCUCCAGAGACGCCACUGGGAGUUGUCAUUUAUUCUGUGAAGAGGGCUUUAAGAUGUACUGUGGUAAGGAGACCAGGGGAGGUUGUAGAGAUGGGUCAUUCAGACCCUUUGAGGACCAAUGAAAACUCAGACUCAGAGGGACCAAUCAUAAGAACAAGAAGUACACUCACACAGGAAAAAAGAGCACAGAAUCCAGCCACUCCCAGACAUUUGGGUCCAAUAAGAGGACAGAACACAGCCAUUCCUAGGCAGUGGAAACCAAUGAGCCUAGUGCUAGCAGUGUUAUCCCUCCCCUUAGAGAGGCUGUGGGUCUGGAGAUGAGGGUGACCUGGCAGUCAGACAAGAGAGGUGUGUGGAUGCCUCCAGUCCUGCUGGUCCAGAGAGGAGGCCCCAGGGCCACAGUGUGCAUUGGUUCCCAUUCCCACAGGAUGCAGGCCCUGGACCUGGUCACUGGGGGGUGUUGUGUUGUAGAGGGUCUCAGGACAGGAUCGAGUCCUCUGCUGCUGUGUCCCGAUGUGGAAGACUCAUCGUGGUUGGUCAGCAUCCACAUAAAGCAUCUGUUUUUUGGUUAUGUUUAAUUUAGUCUUCUGUUCUAUGUCUAUUCUACAGUGUAUAUUGAGGGUCUAUGCUGUGUGUUAACUGUGUUUAAUCUCAGGGCGCUAUGAUGGUUGUGUGUGUUAACUGUGUUUAAUCUCAGGGUGCUAUGAUGGUUGUGUGUGUUAACUGUGUUUAAUCUCAGGGCGCUAUGAUGGUUGUGUGUGUUAACAUUUACAUUUUACAUUUUAGUCAUUUAGCAGACGCUCUUAUCCAGAGCGACUUACAAAUUGGUGCAUUCACCUAUAAUAUCCAGUGGAACAACCACUUUACAAUAGUGCAUCUAAAUCUUUUAAGGGGGGGGUUAGAAGGAUUACUUUAUCCUAUCCCAGGUAUUCCUUGAAGAGGUGGGGUUUCAGGUGUCUCCGGAAGGUGGUGAUUGACUCCGCUGUCCUGGCGUCGUGAGGGAGCUUGUUCCACCAUUGGGGUGCCAGAGCAGCGAACAGUUUUGACUGGGCUGAGCGGGAACUGUGCUUCCUCAGAGGUAGGGAGGCGAGCAGGCCAGAGGUGGAUGAACGUUAACUGUGUUUAAUCUCAGGGUGCUAUGAUGGUUGUGUGUGGAGUCUGGGGAGACAGUGGGUGUUUGAGACUGGAGAUGCUGUCCUACUGUGGACCCCCUCGCAGGCUUGGUGAUGGUGGGGUCGCAGGAUGGCCACGUCUAUGCCCUUGACCCACAGGUGUGUGCGUGUGCAUACCUUUCUUUCAAGUGUAAAUCUUGCAUCACAUGCUCAGUACUGUAUAAUUGUGUUUUUGUGUGUAUUCUAGGUUCGGCAGUGUGUGGACGCAUCACUGUGGGAGUGGAGAUGUGUUCUCCUCACCCUGUCUCCAUCCCUCUCUGACAGAAGUGUGUCGCCACCCUUGGUGGAAGCUUCCUCUGUCUCCAUCCUGACACUGGUAUUGUCCUGUAGAUGUAUUCCAGGAAGACUACAUUUUUCUCCAUCCCAAGCUGCUUCAUUGGAAACCUAAUCAUCGGCUCUGUGGAUGGAAACAUCUGCUGCCUCAGCCACACAGGGAAAAUGCUGUGGCAGUAUGUGACCAAGGGCAGUCUUCUCAUCCCCCUGCAUCACACUAGACAAGUAGAGCAUUGUGUGUGGGUCACAUGACAGGUGUGUGUACUGUCUGAACUGUGCUGACGGCUCAUUGGUGUGGCGCUACCAGAGGGUGUACUCCAGCCCCUGUUUGUUUGAGGGGUCACCCUGAGGUAUGGAAGGUACAUUGGUGGGCCUGGCCUCCACAGAUGGGACCCUGUGUGUUCUGGAUGGAGAGAAUGGAACUCUGAGAGCCUCUCUCUGCCCAGGGAGCUCCUCUCCUGUGGUGUGGCAGCGCCCCUGGUGGUCGGAUGACGCAAUGACAUUGUGUACUGUGUGGAGCCGACAGAUGAGCUCAAAUAGUUUCCUGAGAUGACAUGUAUGACAUCAUGUAUUUUUGUACUAUGUUAUAAUAUUAAAGAAUAAUAUAGGAAACAAAUGCAAAGUAUUGAUACUAAUUUGGAGAAGGAAUAUGACUUGAGGCUUUGAGU